Molecule: long non-coding RNA, 875 nt
Organism: Diabrotica virgifera virgifera (western corn rootworm)
Lineage: Eukaryota; Metazoa; Arthropoda; Insecta; Coleoptera; Chrysomelidae
Exons: 2
Source: RefSeq, a predicted model, not a curated record
UAUUAUUGGAAACUCCAGAUGUUGCGAGAAAGGUAGGCGAAACAAUUUUUUUUACUGUUCAUUUUGCCCCGAUAUUUAUCAAUAAUGAUGAAUUUUGCAAGCAAUAACAUUAUUUCUUUUAUUGUUCUAGAUAUUUAUUGAAGCUGAAAAUAAUUGGGGAUUUAGAUCCAUACGAAUUCAGUCAGAAUUGGAUUUUACAGUAAAGUGCAGUCCAUCAAGUUACUAUUAUAGAUAUUUAUACAUGUCUGGUGGAGUCUGAUAUGUCACAGUUGCUACUCUAAGCAGCAGAUAAAAGCAUACAAAAGCCUUCAGGCACAUAAAUAUUUUACAGCUGGAUUUGUUUUGAAUGGAGUAAAAAUUGUUAAUGAUUUUCUGAUUUCCAUAUUAUUGUCGGAAAGGUGAAGCAUUUCCAAAAAUCUAAUGCUAAACGACUAAAUGCUUGGGUGGGGUGAUAGCCAGUUCUGAUGACAUAGCAAAUUCACAUUGUAUGCGUAUGGCCGGUAAUAGUGAAGUCUGCAGCCAUAUUGCAGCAAUCCUAUUUUUAGCUUAGUAUGCUCAGGGCAAGACAGACGAAGAAGAACCCAAUGUAUGUACAUAUGUUACAGCUACAUGGUUUGGAGAUAGCAACAUAUGCAUUCUCUGAUGAAAAACUAAUGAGUUUUGAAACUGUUCGGUCAGAGUGCUUGUUGCACUCACUAAAGGAAUUGAAAUAUAAGAUGGCUUUGGCAUUGUGUUGCAGCGAUAUGAAAAUGGUUAUUCAUUUUUAAUUAUAAUGUACUUCUUCAUCAUGAGUAAUUAUGUAUUGGUCUUUUAAAUGUGUAUUUAUUUUUGUAAUUAGUAUCAACUUGUAAUGAUAAUAUACAUUUAUCGUUUAA